RNAcentral lists this ribosomal RNA (347 nucleotides) under Monocoryna sp. AG01. Its description in RNAcentral is "partial 12S ribosomal RNA". Lineage: Eukaryota; Metazoa; Arthropoda; Insecta; Coleoptera; Coccinellidae. The record is from RNAcentral.
UAAAAAGGUAAAUUAUUAAACUAAAUUAUUAAUAGAUAUGUUCUUUAAAGUUAAAAAUUUUGGCGGUAUUUUAUCUUUUCAGAGGAACCUGUUCUAUAAUUGAUAAUCCACGAUUAAUUAAACUUUAAUUAGUAAUUUGUAUAUCGUUGUUUAUAAAUAUUUUAAAAGAAUAAAAAUAUUUUUAAUAUAAGAUUUUAUAAAAUUUCAGAUCAAGGUGCAGUUUAUAUUAAAGAAGAAAUGGGUUACAAUAAAAUUAUUUUUGGAAAAUUAAUUGAAAUAUUUUUAUGAAAUUGGAUUUGAAAGUAAUUAAUUUAAUUUUAAAUUAAUGAUAAAGAUCUAAAAUAUGU